AAAGGAAUUGACGGGGACCCGCACAAGCAGCGGAGCAUGUGGUUUAAUUCGACGCAACGCGAAAAACCUUACCAAGGCUUGACAUUGUAUGCAUAUCUAAGAGAUUAGAGAAUUUAUAGCAAUAUAACAUAUAAACAGAUGGUGCAUGGUUGUCGUCAGCUCGUGUCGUGAGAUGUUGGGUUAAGUCCCGCAACGAGCGCAACCCUUGUCGCUAGUUACCAUCAUUUAGUUGGGGACUCUAGUGAGACUGCCGUGGAUAACACGGAGGAAGGUGGGGAUGACGUCAAAUCAUCAUGCCUCUUACGCCUUGGGCUACACACGUGCUACAAUGGCCAUUACAAAGAGACGCAAUACAGUAAUGUGGAGCAAAUCUCAAAAAGAUGGUCUCAGUUCGGACUGUGGGCUGCAACCCGCCCACACGAAGUCGGAGUUGCUAGUAAUCCCGAAUCAGAAUGUCGGGGUGAAUGCGUUCCCGGGUCUUGUACACACCGCCCGU
This 496-nucleotide ribosomal RNA is filed under the name uncultured bacterium. Its description in RNAcentral is "bacterial SSU rRNA". It matches the Rfam family "Bacterial small subunit ribosomal RNA", at positions 903 to 1397 of the family's 1533-position model. The record is from RNAcentral.